RNAcentral lists this ribosomal RNA (484 nucleotides) under uncultured bacterium. RNAcentral's name for it is "partial 16S ribosomal RNA". It matches the Rfam family "Bacterial small subunit ribosomal RNA", at positions 30 to 507 of the family's 1533-position model. The record is from RNAcentral.
AUUGAACGCUGGCGGCAGGCCUAACACAUGCAAGUCGAGCGGAUGAAGGGAGCUUGCUCCUGGAUUCAGCGGCGGACGGGUGAGUAAUGCCUAUGAAUCUGCCUGGCAGUGGGGGAUAACGUCCGGAGACGGGCGCUAAUACCGCAUACGACCUGAGGGUGCAAGUGGGUGAUCUUCGGACCUCACGCUAUCAGAUGAGCCUAGGUCGGAUUAGCUAGUUGGUGGGGUAAAGGCCUACCAAGGCGGCGAUCCGUAACUGGUCUGAGAGGAUGAUCAGUCACACUGGAACUGAGACACGGUCCAGAGUCCUACGGGAGGGAGCAGUGGGGAAUAUUGGACAAUGGGCGGAAGCCUGAUCCAGCCAGGCCGCGUGUGUGAAGAAGGUCUUCGGAUUGUAAAGCACUUUAAGUUGGGAGGAAGGGCAGUAAGUUAAUACCUUGCUGUUUUGACGUUACCAACAGAAUAAGCACCGGCUAACUUCGUG